This 3689-nucleotide long non-coding RNA is filed under the name Castor canadensis (American beaver). RNAcentral describes it as "lncRNA (ENSCCNG00000023642.1)". The record is from RNAcentral. Lineage: Eukaryota; Metazoa; Chordata; Mammalia; Rodentia; Castoridae.
GUAAACUGUGCUUCUAACAGAGCAGAGCACGUGGGUUCGUGGCUGAGAGCUGACUCGUCCCAGCUCCCUUUCCUGAUCAUUUACCUUUCUGUAACAUGGAAAGACAAAUAGACCCUUAAACCUGACUCAGAUCACCGCUGCCAACUUUUUCCUUUGUGCGUAAGUCAUUAUAUUAUUUCUCAGUUAUGCCUUCUUUAUCUUUUGAGAGGAAAAAGAAACCACCUUGCACUGUUUACAAGAACACAUUGUUCCAGGCUAGUACAGUUGCCCCUCUGAUGCCUUUUUUCUAGUUGGAACCAUGGGAGUUACAAGGUUGGUAUCACCUGGUUACCUUUUUUUAAUGCAAGAAACCCCACAACCUUAUUUUAUACCAUCAUCAUUUUCCAUAUGUAUGUAGUGUGUCUCUCAGAAAAUAAAUGUCAGAUUCCAGCUGCUACAAUCCAGGCCUUUAUUUGCACCCUCCCCUCCCCACCUCCCUGUCCCUGCUGCCCAGCCCUCAUUUCAAAGGAGAUGGUUGUCUUUUAUUAGAAAAUUGAAUGUUUUGUACCUUACAGAAAAGAUGAUAUGCCAUUUCUUAAAUAUAGUUAUGUAGAACAGUAACUUUUGAAAUACAUCUUUAUAAUUUUUCCAGGGAACUUUUUAAAAAAUCUGGUGAGAGGUUAGAGGUGAACUCUAGAGGCUAGAGCACCUGCCUAGCAAGUGCAAAGCUUUGAGUUCAAACCCCAGUACCACCACACACACAAAAAAAUUCUGACAGGUAACUCAGGGGCCAUUUUGUGUCCUGGAGAGGGUUCUUGGCUUUGUAGAGAGGUAAGUCUGGGGAGGAACACGCUGGAGGGAGAUGGUCAGAAAGAGGGCCUCCUGGGGAUCAUGGAAAAAGGAAGUCCUGUGCCCUAACAGUGAUCCUGAUCUAUAUUGGGUGUACUCUCUCUACCCAGCAGUUAAUGUCUAUGGUAUAGCCAGAAGAAAGUUUUAUGAACUUCCUGAUCUUGGAUUUUGCCUUGUGUAGAUUUCUGAGAUGGAACCUGUCGCUCUGUUCCACUUGGGUUUGGGAGGAGCGCAGGAGAGGAGCUGAAGGAAGAAUAGUUCGCAUCAUGCUUGAUCACUGCAGUGUAAGGUGGCCUAGAUUCUUUGGCAUUUUGAGAUGUGGUUUGUCCAUUGGGAGUGUAGAAGGCAUGGCAACACACGGCAUGCUGCACUGGGGUGCAAGCAGGUACUUCAGAUUUCUCAGAACACCUAGACCUGCCAGUAGGGGAGAAGACAGAUGGACUAUAAGCAGAUGGAGAUGUUACCAGAUGUUUAAGACUGCAAGAGAAUAACUGAGAAUUAUGUAAAAUUACUUACCAGGUACUUGAUUAAUGUUUGUUUAUCUUCCCCAUAAGGACAAAUGCCCUGUGUAAUAUCUCUAUCUCUGUACUGCCCACUCACCAAGCCCUUUAUGAAUAUUGAUUCAACAAAAAAAAUUUAUCUCUUCAUAUGUGUAAAUUUAGGGCCUGUUGCUUCAUUAAUAGUGAUUUUUGUGAAAAGAAAUGCUCAUAGUUCAGACUACUAGAGACCCUGAUUGAGGGAAUUAGGCCAAACAGGAAAGUCUUGUGCCCCCUGAAGGUAGAGUUGUCUGACAAAUAACCUGGGCCUUGCUAAAUAACUACUAGGUAUAUUUUUAAAUAGUGGGGUUAUUGGGUUGAAGUUCUGACUAGUGUGGAAACCUGUCCUCUCCUCUCAGGUCUGUAGAGCUGGUUAUUUUGCAGAUGCACCAGGACUGGAAAGGCUGUGACAUGUGGCCAAAGCUUGAAGCUGCUCUAUAGUGGGCAGUCUCAGUGAUUCCUGCUGCCAGUGCUUAGAAGGAUGAGACCUGUGCUGCCUGCUUCUCCAACCCUAGAGGGGGCAUUCCAAGCUGUGUAGCCUAAGCCAAUAGGUGAGAUGCCUAGAGGGCAGAUGCUCUGUUAAGCUCUAUGAGUACAAAGGUGAAGAACCAUGCCUGUCCUUGAAGGAGAACCAUUGUAGCCUUCCUGACUCAAGCAGGCAUUGUACAACCAGGCGAUAUUCCUGAUGUGGCCCAUAGCCUUCACUAGAGAAACUUUCCCAAACCAUACAUCUAUAAGCUCUAUGGCUUUGGCAAGUCACUUAAUGUCCCUUAACUUUUUUUCCUUCCUUCUUGGAGCAGAGAGACUAUCUGGGUAAGGGGCAGAUGAAAUAGCCUAUGGGACUGUCUUCUAACUGUGCAGUGGUUAACUCUUACAGUUUCAUAGAUGCUAUGCUUUUGGGAUGGAGCAUUGCUGAGUAUGGAAGACCUGAAUGAUAGCAUGCAUGUUUGUAUGAACUGGCCUGCUAAGUCAUUUUGAGUUUGUAUUUGAAAGUAAUGGGUGGGUUGUUACCCAUAUAUAAAGAAUUAGAUCCAGGCUCUAAAAGGUUGUUUGCUGUUCUUUAGCAAAAUACCAUUCUUCUGAAGUUUCAUACAAUCAUUCCACAAAAAUCUAAGCAUCUGUUUCGUCCCAGGCAUUUUGCUUAUAAUGGGUAUGCAGCAGCAGACAGAACACUUGCUUUCUUCUUCUUCCUUCUUCCUUCCUCUUGGCGGUACUGGGAUUUGAACUAGGGCUCACACUUGCUCUACCACUUGAGCCAUUCCGCCAGCCCAGCACUUGCUUUCUGUUCUCAUAGAACUGAUUAUUGGACAGAGAAUAUUGCAGGAAUAGACAAGUGUGAGGAUGGGCAUAGAGAGGUGAAGCAUUCGUAUAAACUGCUAUUUGUUGUAAUAUUUACAUGUUAAUCUGGGAAGGUCUUUCCAUGUAAAAGUAGUGAUUUAGUCUCUUGUCUAUAAAUAACUCCUUUCUUUGUAGACAGUGAGUUAGGGCAAGAAGUUAUAUCAUCAGGGAAGAGUGGUGUUUUACAAUAGAAAGUACAAAUGAAGAGGAUGCUAAGGAAAGAGUAUAUUUUAUAUAUGGAAUACACAUCUCAGUUUGUACAUGAAGUUGCUUAGGGAAAGUAGUUGUAAACGUGAGUGCUUUAAAGGAGCUACCAAAAUCCAGGAUAAACCAAUUAGUGAACAUCUUUAAAUAUAAACACUCAAAGCCUACAGCUCUGUUGUUCCAGCUAGACCUGCAAUGCUGCAUUAGAACUUUGUGUGAUGAAACAUUCUGUAUCUGCUGUGUUCGGUAUGGUAGCCAUUAGUUCACAAGUUGCUAUGGAGUUCUUGUGAGUGUAGCUAGUGCUACUGAGGAACUGAAUUUCAGGUUUUAUUUAAUUUUAACUAAUUUCAAUGUUAAUUGCAACAUGUGAUUGUAGCUACUAGGCAGCACAGGUCCGGACAUAAGGUUAACAAAGUACUUUCCUCCUAUGUGUUUCUUUGGUUAAGCGUAACAAUGACAUUUUUCCUGUUGUAUUUAGGGCUGUCAGAAAGGGUGUGCACUUUUUUAAAAAAUGGAACACAACCACUUAGACCAGUUGCCUAAUUUGCACACAUUUUUGGGAGCUGUUGAUGUUGCCUAUUGGUAAAUACUAAGUACUUAUAAUGACCUAAAAACUGCAAGACAAACAAGUUUCUGUAACUGAGUACCAAGGGGUUAAAGAACUGAGGGAAAUGGUGGCGACUCUGAUUCAUAGAUAUUCAAAAGCUUUUGUGACUGUGAAAAUAAGCUAGACUUUAAACAUUUUGAAAUAAAAUUGAAGUUCAUUUGAGUUGAAAUUUUUAG